This 471-nucleotide long non-coding RNA is filed under the name Nicotiana benthamiana. Its description in RNAcentral is "long non-coding RNA (NBEN_LNC039878)". The record is from RNAcentral. Lineage: Eukaryota; Viridiplantae; Streptophyta; Magnoliopsida; Solanales; Solanaceae.
CUGGUAUCACGUUCAAGAACCUGGUUCUUCAACACAACAUUUUUGCUAUCACUCUCCUUAGCCCUAGACUCUAGACUUUUGCAUUUUGCCUUUAGGAUCACACAUUCCGUAGAUAGAUCUUCCUUCUCAUUGUUAAUUAUCUCAAACUCAUCAAUGAAGUCUAGUAAUAGCUCGGCCAUCCUUUCCUUAGAAAAAAAUUUAAUAUUGUCUUUGUGAUAAAGAAUACUUACCUCUUGUUCAUCAUCUGAUUGUCCGAUGGCUGUAAGGGCCUGUUCAUCUUCAGCUUCAUUAUCUGAGUCCUCAUCUGAUGUUUCUCCCUAGGCAGUAACCAUAGCCUUUGUUGAUCAUUUGUUCCUUCUUGGUUGAACAUAUUCCUUCUUCCUGUUCCUUCGUUCAACCCUUUCUUUCUUCCACUCAAUUUCCCAUUGAGGAUAGUUCUUGAUCAUGUAAUCAGUCUUACCAUACUUGUAG